This is a long non-coding RNA of Lates calcarifer (barramundi perch), 499 nucleotides long. RefSeq lists it as uncharacterized. The transcript has 3 exons. The record is from RefSeq and is a predicted model, not a curated record. Lineage: Eukaryota; Metazoa; Chordata; Actinopteri; Centropomidae.
GGAACAGAGACCAUAGCUCCAGAUGGAUGCUGCCCUGUCUGUAUUCCAAGGGGUCAUCCAUGCAGUGUGUCCAGCAAUGCUGUGUACCUAGAGAGCCAGGGUUGCUACUCCAAAGACCGGGUGAACGUCACAUCUUGUAAUGGAGCUUGUGGUACCUUCACCUUCUACAACACCAAAAUGAGAUCCCUGCAGCACACCUGCUCUUGCUGUCAGGAGGUGGCCACAUCUGAAAGGCAGGUCCAACUCUCCUGCCCUGACAAUACUGAGAUCACCUACACCUACACCCACAUCGACGCCUGCGGGUGCCUCAAGACAGAGUGCACUGUGCCUGGCCAAAGAAAAGAACCACCUACCCCCAGGUCACGUCGACGCAGAAGAUGAGACAAAAACCCAGGACUGGAACUUGUAGGAACAUAACUGAAUAAUCGUAAUUGAAUCAGUGUCAACUUCAUAUGCAUACAUGAUUCCUCUAUUUAUGUCUAAUGUAGUUUUAGUUUGA